This 490-nucleotide ribosomal RNA is filed under the name uncultured bacterium. RNAcentral describes it as "bacterial SSU rRNA". It matches the Rfam family "Bacterial small subunit ribosomal RNA", at positions 45 to 527 of the family's 1533-position model. The record is from RNAcentral.
GGCCUAACACAUGCAAGUCGAGGGGCAGCACAGUGUAGCAAUACAUAGGUGGCGACCGGCGCACGGGUGAGUAACGCGUAUGCAACCUGCCUACAACAGGGGGAUAACCCGGAGAAAUCCGGACUAAUACCGCAUAAAACAGGGGUCCCGCAUGGGAGUAUUUGUUAAAGAUUUAUCGGUUGUAGAUGGGCAUGCGUUCCAUUAGUUGGUUGGUGAGGUAACGGCUCACCAAGACGUCGAUGGAUAGGGGAACUGAGAGGUUUGUCCCCCACACUGGAACUGAGACACGGACCAGACUCCUACGGGAGGCAGCAGUGAGGAAUAUUGGUCAAUGGGCGAGAGCCUGAACCAGCCAAGUCGCGUGAAGGAAGACUGCCUUAUGGGUUGUAAACUUCUUUUAUACAGGAAUAAAAAGGCUUACGUGUAGGCCAUUGCAAGUACUGUAUGAAUAAGCAUCGGCUAACUCCGUGCCAGCAGCCGCGGUAAUACG